RNAcentral lists this non-coding RNA (206 nucleotides) under Terribacillus aidingensis. RNAcentral's name for it is "T-box sequence". It matches the Rfam family "T-box leader". From Rfam's summary of the family: Uncharged tRNA acts as the effector for transcription antitermination of genes in the T-box leader family. T-boxes are found upstream of many aminoacyl-tRNA synthetase genes and some amino acid biosynthetic genes usually in Gram-positive bacteria. The record is from RNAcentral. Lineage: Bacteria; Bacillati; Bacillota; Bacilli; Caryophanales; Bacillaceae.
AUAAAAGCGACGAAGAAAAUAUAGUACGUUACUCCUCUGGUUGAAGAGAGCUUGUGGCUGGUGAAAACAAGCACCAUGGGUAGCGGAAAUUGGGUUUUUGGAGCUGCGGGAUUAUUUCCCGCCGUCUACGCAGGCGUUAACUGUAUCAAGUGAUCCUUCAUAUAGGAGGAUAAUUAGGGUGGCACCGCGGUCUAUUCGUCCCUGCA